AGCCCAUGGUGCAGACAAAGUCUCAUAAUUUCCUUGAUUCACUCAUAUGCUUCGAAGAGUGAUUCAUCGUCAUUUUUCUUUUAAAGGGAGUAAUUUGAUUCCUAUGUU
Small nucleolar RNA from Vicia villosa (hairy vetch), 108 nucleotides. Lineage: Eukaryota; Viridiplantae; Streptophyta; Magnoliopsida; Fabales; Fabaceae. The record is from RefSeq and is a predicted model, not a curated record.